GAAAUGCGAUAAUUAAUGUGAAUUGCAGAAUUCAGUGAAUCAUCGAGUCUUUGAACGCACAUUGCGCCCCCUGGUAUUCCGGGGGGCAUGCCUGUCCGAGCGUCAUUGCUGCCCACAAGCACGGCUUGUGUGUUGGGCUUCCGUCCCUGGCAACGGGGACGGGCCCAAAAGGCAGUGGCGGCACCAUGUCUGGUCCUCGAGCGUAUGGGGCUUUGUCACCCGCUCCCGUAGGUCCAGCUGGCAGCUAGCCUCGCAACCAAUCUUUUUAACCAGGUUGACCUCGGAUCAGGUAGGGAUACCCGCUGAACUUAAGC
This 314-nucleotide unclassified non-coding RNA is filed under the name plant metagenome. RNAcentral's name for it is "partial contains 5.8S ribosomal RNA, internal transcribed spacer 2, and large subunit ribosomal RNA". The stretch from base 1 to 105 matches the Rfam family "5.8S ribosomal RNA", at positions 50 to 154 of the family's 154-position model. The record is from RNAcentral.